UCUGGGGAGGAUCCAACCUUAGUUUUGGCAACCUUGUUUGCAUGACGGGGUUCAAAUGCUACCGAGCACAAAGCACGCCACGCGCGGCGCGGCGUUGCUGUAGCUUGGCGAGGAACUGUUGUAUUGAGGAUCGAUCACGGUACGUGGUAUCGAUCCAAUAGUCAGAGCAGAAUGCCGUGUUUGGCAGAUUGAGGUUGGUGGUGGGUGUGGAAGAGGAGGGGACCGUCGACAGCGUUGCUGUUGUCACGCAGUAGCAGGGAACCUUCCGAGACAGAUCGUUGGUUUGUACCGCUAGAGGAUUGUAGAGUUCUGAUGAGGACCCGCUUAGGGGCUGAUUUGGCGAUCUGGAGGGAUCGUGGUGGAGUUCGAUUUGGGCGUGGGGAGCGAGCAGUGAGGGAGGGAUCGUGGUGUGGAUCGAUCUAGCCCCGAUCUAGCUUUGGUCGUCAAUGAGCCACGCCCAUGCCGAGGUGCAGGUCGGGGCUCGCCAUGGGAGUAUCCAUGCCGGCGCCGCGGCGUGCAAACAGCGAAGCCGCGAAGCUUGCUGGGAAGCCAGCAGACCAUAUGUUUCCCUCAACCUGAAGAUAUGAUCUAUGCUGCUCCUUCUGGUUUGUGUGUUACUUCCACUGGAUGAUACUCUGUCAUAUGUCGUCGUUGUUUCCUCCCAGUGAAGCCCUCCCAACCGUCAUCUCCUUCCCUUCUCUUGCUGCUCGAUGAAAUUGCGCCUGCUGCUACCUUUGCAUGGUAACGGAGUUCUGUGAAUUUACUCCAGCGGCGAGGAUCCAAUUUCAGUGAAAUCAUGCUACUAUAACUUAAGCGCACGAGGAAGACGAGGGAAUAGUCCUUCGUUGGAGCGGUAUUUUUUUCAAAGAUGGUGUUGGCAUGGAUCAGCACCGGUAAUACCCUAAAUCUUCUGAACUUGACUCCUCUAGCCACACUUGAUGAUGGAAGUUCCACUCAAAUGAAUUUACAAUGUAUUUGGCUUGGAGUUGAUCCCAAAAAAUGAAUUUAUUAUGUCUAUCCAAGAAAUGAAGUUUUUUCGUUCAGAUUUUAGAUCUCUUUAGUUUUAGCUUAGUUCAAGGAUAGAAAAGCUUGCUCCUUAUGGAUUCAACGAGGAAGAACAUUAGCCACUUUUUCAGAGUUGGAUGGUGUGGUGCACCUUCAUCUCGCUGUCCAAUUUCUUAGCUUAUUUGCUUUAACUGUACUAUAGUUAUAUAGCAGGAUAAGGAUCCAAUCUUGUGACACUUCUCCAUUUGCACCAUCGUCAAAAGUUGCACAUGAGUUCAUUCAGACUUUCCGACUUCAGAGAACACCAAGGAGAGUCAAUUGGCCUGAAGGUAUAUAUCAGAUCCUAAGGAAAGGGACCCCAGUUCAAAUUUGUCAGUACUCUGUGCUGUUGGAUAGCCAUGGUAUGUGUUAGUUUUAUUUUACCACAGAAGUUCGAUUCUUGGGAGUUAGAAUAUCAUAUGAAUACAUUACUUUUCUUGUGAAUCCAUUCUCUUUUAGUGCACUAUCUAUCUCUCUAAUCUAUCUAUCAAAGUUUUCAAACAAAUUGACGGCAGCGGUAUUGUGGCGAAUGGCGAAGGUUCUAAAAUGGACGGGAGAGACGUGGUGACGCCCGACUGGGAGACGUACAUAUUGGAGGAAAUAUGAUUCAUAAGGACGUGCGUGCUAUUUCAGAAAAAGUAGCUUCUCUGUUGGAUGGCCCGCCUCAUGGUACUUUUAGAUAUGUAGGUAAAAAAUGGCAUCUCAUAAUUCAUUGAAUGUAGACCAGUAGGGUCAACUACAAAUUGUUCCCUGUAAAUGACUUUCAGUUCUAGCUUUCAUAAAAUAUUAGACAUGUACUCUUUAACAGUAUACCAUGGUUGAUGGUGGUCCUAUGUACUGGUUGAAAUUAUCAUGUUGGAUAAUGUUGCAUUUA
This is an RNA transcript of Hordeum vulgare subsp. vulgare (domesticated barley), 1918 nucleotides long. RefSeq lists it as uncharacterized. Lineage: Eukaryota; Viridiplantae; Streptophyta; Magnoliopsida; Poales; Poaceae. The record is from RefSeq and is a predicted model, not a curated record. The transcript has 4 exons.